Molecule: transfer RNA, 65 nt
Filed under: Hexostoma thynni
Lineage: Eukaryota; Metazoa; Platyhelminthes; Monogenea; Diclybothriidea; Hexostomatidae
Description: tRNA-Phe
Source: RNAcentral
UUCUUUUUAGCUUAGACAAAAGCGUUAGUUUGAAGCACUAACGAGACAUUAAUUUGUAAAAGAAG